AGCUGCGUGGCUCAGUGGAAAGAGCACUGGCUGGGGAGCCAGAGGUCAUGGAUUCGAAUUCCGGCUCUGCCA
This 72-nucleotide transfer RNA is filed under the name Ornithorhynchus anatinus (platypus). It matches the Rfam family "tRNA". Rfam says of the family: Transfer RNA (tRNA) molecules are approximately 80 nucleotides in length. Their secondary structure includes four short double-helical elements and three loops (D, anti-codon, and T loops). Lineage: Eukaryota; Metazoa; Chordata; Mammalia; Monotremata; Ornithorhynchidae. The record is from Rfam by way of RNAcentral.